GGGCCCGCAGUUCAGCCCGGCAGAACGCCGGCCUUACGAGCCGGUGGUCCCGGGUUCAAAUCCCGGCGGGCCCACCA
Molecule: transfer RNA, 77 nt
Filed under: Methanopyrus kandleri
Lineage: Archaea; Methanobacteriati; Methanobacteriota; Methanopyri; Methanopyrales; Methanopyraceae
Also listed under: 3 other names
Description: tRNA-Val
Rfam family: tRNA
About the family: Transfer RNA (tRNA) molecules are approximately 80 nucleotides in length.
Source: RNAcentral